Molecule: ribosomal RNA, 523 nt
Filed under: Pseudoalteromonas sp.
Lineage: Bacteria; Pseudomonadati; Pseudomonadota; Gammaproteobacteria; Alteromonadales; Pseudoalteromonadaceae
Description: bacterial SSU rRNA
Rfam family: Bacterial small subunit ribosomal RNA
Source: RNAcentral
AGAGUUUGAUCCUGGCUCAGAUUGAACGCUGGCGGCAGGCCUAACACAUGCAAGUCGAGCGGUAACAGAAAGUAGCUUGCUACUUUGCUGACGAGCGGCGGACGGGUGAGUAAUGCUUGGGAACAUGCCUUGAGGUGGGGGACAACAGUUGGAAACGACUGCUAAUACCGCAUAAUGUCUACGGACCAAAGGGGGCUUCGGCUCUCGCCUUUAGAUUGGCCCAAGUGGGAUUAGCUAGUUGGUGAGGUAAUGGCUCACCAAGGCGACGAUCCCUAGCUGGUUUGAGAGGAUGAUCAGCCACACUGGGACUGAGACACGGCCCAGACUCCUACGGGAGGCAGCAGUGGGGAAUAUUGCACAAUGGGCGCAAGCCUGAUGCAGCCAUGCCGCGUGUGUGAAGAAGGCCUUCGGGUUGUAAAGCACUUUCAGUCAGGAGGAAAGGUUAGUAGUUAAUACCUGCUAGCUGUGACGUUACUGACAGAAGAAGCACCGGCUAACUCCGUGCCAGCAGCCGCGGUAAUAC